Jatropha curcas is the source of this 2191-nucleotide non-coding RNA. The record is from RefSeq and is a predicted model, not a curated record. Lineage: Eukaryota; Viridiplantae; Streptophyta; Magnoliopsida; Malpighiales; Euphorbiaceae.
UUUUGUAGCCAUAGUGGAGCAUUAUACAAUAACAUAAAUAAACAUUAUUAAUAUUAAUUCUAAAUGUCGGUUAAUUACAAACUGGUAUACUCUCCAUUUUGUUGAUUAAAAAUUGAUUCUUUAACGCUAUUAUUAAUAAUAUAAAUUAUUGGGACUCAAUUCUGAAAUUAAAGGUGUUUAACAAGGGUUCUAAUCAAGCAGCUGAUAGUUAAUGGAACUCAUAAUAUUUUUCUAACAUAUCUCUUAAUAUUUUUUUUUUUUUUGAAAAGUUAUUCCUUAUUAUUUUGUUUGCGGAUUUGUUUGCCUAUUGAGAACAAAAGAAGAAUAAAAAAAUUCUGCUUACAGAGAACGAAGCAGAUCAUAUAAGCUUUCUCCAAUUAGAAGGUAUAUUUUUUUCUACGUUUCUGUUUUAUUUUUGUUGGUUGUUGUUUCUAUUUAUUGAUAUGAGUUAACUCUGUUAGGUUGUCUUUUUUUGUUUUUUCCUUUCUACUUUUGUUUUUAUCGAUCAUUAGAAGAAUUUAUCUAUCAUCCAAAGAGCUUCUUUUAUUUUACGUACCUUUCAAACUUGAAUUUAAUGAUUCAUUUCUCCAUCAACCACUUAACAAUCUCCCUGACCUUUAACAGAUAUAAAAUUCCUGAUAUCAACACAUGAUUCCUGAUAAAUUUACAUAUUUUAAUCUUUAAUAUCAUAUAUAGCACCAUUGCUUACCACAAGAUCAAGAUGAUAUUCACCAUUGGUUUGGAGUAGUAUUUUAGAGAAAUUGAAAUUGAAGAAAUUCAUAAUUUUACUCCAUCUUAUCAAAUAAUUGAUAUCUGAGUAAAGUUAUUUUGAUCACUUGCUUUCAAUUCUGAAAUUCUAAUUUUCUAGCUUGAUUUUGGGAAGUUGAAGAAGAAGAAAAGAGAAUGAAGAACAUAUCUGUUGUUUUUUACCUGGUGAACUGAUGAUUGAAAUAUUCCACAAAAUGUCAAUUAACACUCUCGUUCGUUGUACUACUGUAUGCAAGUACUGGAACUCUCUCAUUAAAGAUCCUACCUUUAUUUCCACCCACCUUAAGCUUACCACCACGGCUUCUUCCUUUGCCGUCUCCACUACAGUGACCGCCGCUACGAAUGUGAGCAGGGUACUAAAGCAUGCUACUAUAUCUAUCAUGACAACCAAGAGUUCACUGUCCACAAGGUUAUUGAUUUACCUUUCAAGGGUCACGAGAAAUCCUUUCGUGUUGCUGACUCUAUCAAUGGCAUAGUUUGCCUUAUCGGCGACCACGAUUAUGUACCCUACUAUUAUCUGCUCUGGAACCCAUCCAUUCAAAAAUCUAUUACCGUUCCUAGGCCUAACCUCACUUCCAUGGGCCAUGCCUUUGUUGGGUUUGGCUAUGAUUCCCGCAAUGAUGACUACAAGUUAGUGAGAAUGGUUCCUCCUAAUGACCCAAAGGGUUUAAACUCCGGAGCUCAACUGGAGAUUUUCUCACUCAAGUCUAGUUCAUGGAAGACUCUGUCUGGUCCAAUAUGUCAUAAAUAUAUGACUAUUGCUUCUAGUUCACAAGCUUUUGUUAAUGGAGUUGUUCAUUGGAUUGCUCGUAGAGAUGGGGAUUCUUUGUUAAACUAUGUUUUGUUAGGGUUGGAUAUGAGUAAUGAAGUGCUUCAUGAGACUAUAUUGCCGGAAGAAUUUAGGAUUCAACUAUUGGUUUGUCCAGCUCAAACUUUUUCCAUUUGGUUCGUCCAGUGGUAUAUAAAGAUUCAACUAUUGGUUUGUAUUACAGAAAUCCUUCCAUUGUUAACCCUUGUCUAUGGAUAAUGAAAGAGUAUGGUGUGGGAAAUUAAUGGACCAAGAUUUUUGUAACCGGUAACGAUUUAAAGUCCCUGCACACAGCAAGGCCAUUGUGGAUUAGCAAGAAAGGUGAAGAGUUGAUAGCAGAGAGUCUUGAUGGGGAUCUUAUAGCAGUUGAUCUCCAGAAUCGGCACGUUAAAUGCCGACAGGUUUUGGGAACACCGGAAUAUACUUUUAUUGGGCCCUAUGUGGAAAGUUUAGUGUUGCUUAAUACCAUUGAUGGCUAUUUCGUCAAAAUACUUGAAUAGAAUAAUUUUUUUUUUUGUUCAACCUCAGGCAUAGGUAUUUCUAAUCACCUGUUUCAUAUUUAUAAGAUCUAUUAUGUUUUAGUAUUUUGCUUAAUAAUAAAAAAAAAUGUUGUUA